GUUGAUUUCUCUGGCUUGACUUCAUCGCUUCCAAUGCACCACAAGCUCCCUCUUUAAGUAGUUCCAGUUCACCAUCAUCGCUGAAGUGGCCUUUGGAGAUCUCUGGAAAGCUGCACUGGACAACACUUUACUGAAGAAGAAUAACCAUAUCUGCCGUUAUUUUCCAGCAGGAUUCAUUUUGUUGAAGACACAAAACAAAAGCCUUUCUGUCACUGGACAUGUCAUUCUCCCGUGCUGCAGCCAGCCUUUGUCUUUCCAGAUUUGCUGAGUGUGCUCCAAGGGACUGCAGCAGUGCUUUGCUGCUAGCUCUUGUCCUGCUUCCCGGAGAGCCAUUGUGCUGCACUGUGAGCAGGCAGGAUACUCGCCCCAGAGUGAGCUGUGAUGGAGGGACUGACACUGAAACUGCUGGAGAGGUAACAACACCGUUCCCACAAGCAGCCUUUCCGUGGCAGCUGUGUCCCACAUUGAGUCCUCUCCCUUUCUGUUACCUGAGACCUCAGGUGCAUUUAAGUAACACAGGAUUUGCAAAUGUCUCUCAGCACUACUCUGAGGAAGAAGAUAUACAUGUAUUUGGUGAGUCUUCUGUCUCCUAG
This 593-nucleotide long non-coding RNA is filed under the name Anas platyrhynchos platyrhynchos (common mallard). RNAcentral's name for it is "lncRNA (ENSAPLG00000021449.1)". Lineage: Eukaryota; Metazoa; Chordata; Aves; Anseriformes; Anatidae. The record is from RNAcentral.